Molecule: long non-coding RNA, 1962 nt
Organism: Anas platyrhynchos (mallard)
Lineage: Eukaryota; Metazoa; Chordata; Aves; Anseriformes; Anatidae
Source: RefSeq, a predicted model, not a curated record
AUCACAAUAUGAACCACCUGUGUUGUGUUUGCAGUCCUGAAUAGAAGAUGAAAAGUACAAAUUCACAAUUAUAGAAUAUUCACAAUUAGACAAAGACCUUGAAGGUCGUUUAUCUAACCUAUCUUCUCAACUGGAUCGUAAGAAGUCUGCAAGAAAGGAAAGUGGUCCCCUACGAACUGGCUUCCCAUGCUGACUUCUAACAACAACUGCUUCGAUUUUCCAAGAUUACGAUGAAGUUUUUUGCAUUGUGCUCUGCAGAGCUGGUGCUGUACAUUUGGGGAGCUGAAUAAGCCGAAUACCCUUUUCAGUCAUAAGCACACUGAAGUCAGAAGGAUCUGUCUCCAGAAAUGUUGUUUACUUCUAAAGGGUGCAUUCUUAUUGCUUGUGUGUAUACAAUCAACAUAUCUUUGAAAUGAAAGCAUUAGUCACCAUAUUAAAUUUUCACAUAUUUGGUAGACUGUUAAUGCCAACUAUUGAGACCCCCUAGUCAAACAAUAUUAUGGCUUUAGUACCUUCAGCUGGGCUAAAUUCUACUCCAUUAGGUCAUUUAAGUCUACUUGAUUGUUACUUCAAGUGCUAAUAUACAAAAAUAAUCUACAGGCCAUACUUAAAGGAACAAGAACAUUAAGAUAUGCUUUUAAAAGAUGUGACAAAAAUAAUUUCAAUGUUACAAAAGAAAAAUCCUUUACAAUUCAUCUUUUUUAAAGCAUUAUGUCAAAUUAUUUGUACUUUUCCUGAAAAAUAAUGGAUUCUUCUUUUGUGUUAAGUUUAGAUUUAAAUGCCCUCAGAAAUAUCUUUAUGCAGUUCAUAUUCUUAAAAAAAGUUUAUGUCAAAGAUGCUAUUAAAUUGAGGGGAGCUAACACACACUUAAAGCUUACAGAUUGGUAUUUGCAGCUGCUUCUUUUUUAAGUUUAAAAAACAACAACAACAACAAAAACACAAAAACACACAACAAAAACCCUUCCAUCUUCUGAGAAAACAAUUCACAUUAUGAAGAGCUGACCUUCUUCUCUUUGAAUAAUUUUCUAAAAAUAUAACUCUAGUACAUUUCCAUGUACUAAUUCUCCUUAAUCCAGUUCUCUAUAUCUACUUAUUUCCUAACUGUAACUCUAAAUUAAAAAACAAACAAACAAACAAACAAACAAAAACCAAACAAAAAAACGGAACAAAACACUCAUACAGUGCCAAAAUCUGAGCAUAUGUUGUACUGUGUAUAUAUUAGCGUUGGGCUGAGAAAUAACAAUCUCGUGUAGUCCUACCUUUCUGCCUGAGCUGGUCUCAGUUUUACUGGAGAAAGAACAAGAAUUAUAUAGUACAUGGAUGUGAAUGGAUGUGACAUACUUUGCCUGUUCCUUUCAGUGAUGCAUUAAAUUUUAUGUUCAUUUGCCAAAUUUCUAGAUCACUUUAAGUACUGAAAUAUUUGAAUUAUUAGCCCUUCUGAAGACAUUAUCAAUACUCAUGAUUUUUUUUUUUAUAUCAAUUGGUUGAAUCUCAAUUUGAAACAUGUAAAAUAUACAGCCAUGGUUUUAAGUAUGAUCCAGUUUGAGUAAUAUCUAAUUACACUGAUAUUACACUGAUACUUAAAAGGUGCUUAGGCCUGUGAAGUCUUAAUUUCAUGUUUGUAUGAACAUUCAUAUUUUUUUUUUUGUGUGUGUCAUGAGACUGGCUGUAAAGAAGAUUAUGAUCAGCUGUCCGUAACUUCUCCAGUACAUUAUAUACAUGGUCCCUUGGAAAUACAGUUGGUUCUAACCCAUUGAUUGAUUGGUUUUGGUAAAAUCAGUAGUCUGUUCCAUAGCCUCUUAGAUUUUUAUGACCAGGAACUAGUUUAUUCUCAUAUGUUUAUGUCAUCAAAUUACAGUGACUAGAUCCCAAAUUACUUUGAAUGCAUCAAUUUUCUGGACCUCUUUUAUAUCCAAAUACCAACAAACUUCACUGAGACAACCUGAGAAUAGAACACUAAGA